RNAcentral lists this ribosomal RNA (258 nucleotides) under uncultured bacterium. RNAcentral describes it as "partial 16S ribosomal RNA". It matches the Rfam family "Bacterial small subunit ribosomal RNA", at positions 793 to 1055 of the family's 1533-position model. The record is from RNAcentral.
GUCCAUGCCGUAAACGAUGGAUACUAGCUGUUGGGCGCAAGUUCAGUGGCUAAGCGAAAGUGAUAAGUAUCCCACCUGGGGAGUACGUUCGCAAGAAUGAAACUCAAAGGAAUUGACGGGGGCCCGCACAAGCGGUGGAGCAUGUGGUUUAAUUCGAUGAUACGCGAGGAACCUUACCAAGGCUUAAAAUGUAGAUUGAACCGUUUUGGAAACAGAACUUUCGCAAAGACAAUUUACAAGGUGCUGCAUGGUUGUCGU